Molecule: RNA transcript, 1334 nt
Organism: Nicrophorus vespilloides
Lineage: Eukaryota; Metazoa; Arthropoda; Insecta; Coleoptera; Silphidae
Gene: Myeov2
Gene name: myeloma-overexpressed gene 2 protein homolog
Exons: 4
Source: RefSeq, a predicted model, not a curated record
ACUUCAGCGUACAACAACACUUAUCAGCUGUUCACAAAAAUAUUGUCGGUCAUUUAUUUGCAAAUUUCAUAUUUUGUCAAUUAUUGCUAUCAACAAUCAAAAUGAAACCAGCAAUUGUAGCCGAUGAGAUGUUCCCAGAAGGCGCAGGUCCUUACAUGGACCUCGAAGAGGCUGGAGGUUCUACAGGUCUCUUGAUGGAUCUAGCAGCCAAUGAAAAAGCUGUCCAUUUAGAUUUUUUUAAUGAUUUCGAUGAUUUGUACGAUGAUGAUGACCUGCAAUAAACGGAAAGUAAUGAAGCAUUUCGAAUUUUUGGAAAUAUUAUUUAUUGAAAUAACUUUACAUAUUUCUUUUGUUUUGUCUCUCUCCCGUCGCACAUCCUAGAAAAAGAAUAAACGAAACAAAUGAAUACUCUAAAAAGAAAAAAAAAUCACAGAGUGAGUAGAUUUUUGCCUGUCUUGUACUAAACGUUAGUAUUAUUAGAUUCAUUUUUUCCCUUAUACAAUUAUUAUAAUUAUUAUCUGGAUGGUGUGGGAUUGUACCUCAUAUACAUUACAUACAAUUACAAGUUUUACUUGUUCUUCCUCGUCAUGGACAUGUUUGUUUCUCUUAUUUAUUUAUUUUUCUGCUUGGACAAAUAUUUAUUGUUUGCCUAUACAUAAAAAUACGUCAAACGAAGGAGUUCGAGCCAAAGUGACCUAUUCAAAAAUAUGUUUUCCUUUUCUUCUUUCUCUCUCUCGUUUUUCUUGGUCCUAAUGCGAACUCAAAUAAAAAAAAUCGACAACCUUCGACCGCGACUGAAAAAAAAAGAAAAGCAUCUAAGAGUUUCCUAAAUCGUUCAUCGCGAUCGUAGAUUUAAUUUUUUAAGCACUUGAUAUAUCACCUUUAUAAUUUCUUGAGGAAAAUGAAAAACUUUCCAAAAAAUAAAACGUUAUUUACACAAAUGGUACAAGGUAUAUUUACAUAAUAUAUAUUUUCUCUUCUUUUGUUUCUUCGUUCGUUACUAUGACACAUCUUUUUCUAAGCGCAUUUGAUUGGGGGGGAUUACUUUUCUGAGCAACCAGUUUCUUCCUCAUUUCCUCUACACUCAUGGUCAACACAAGAACAGUUUAACAUAUACGAUUCAUAUUACAUAAUCGAGUAAUUUCGGAGAUAUUUGAUAUUGAGCAACGACACGAUUCAAUUCAUUAUUACAUGAUAAUUUGAUGGUAAAGAAGAAUCGAUAUUGUUUUGCGUUUGCAAAAAUAAUGAGUAAAGCUGAGAAAGCAAAAGGGUGUUGUAUCAGUGUAUGUUAUACAUUGCGCGAAGGAUUAAAAUUAAUAACAGUAUAAUAUAUA